RNAcentral lists this long non-coding RNA (378 nucleotides) under Brassica napus (rape). RNAcentral's name for it is "long non-coding RNA (BNAP_LNC020599)". Lineage: Eukaryota; Viridiplantae; Streptophyta; Magnoliopsida; Brassicales; Brassicaceae. The record is from RNAcentral.
AGGUACACACCGACGAAAACUGGUCAGACUUUAUGACCAAGGUAUUACCGAUCAAGAAGUUUGAAGAUUGCUGCAAAGGCACCGGCAUGACAACGGUUUCGGGCUAAGUCGGAAAGGGGGAGAUUUGUUGGUUUUUUCCUCCAUUAGCCCAAAACCCAAAAUUAUGAUCCAUAACCAAGAAGCCCAAGAAGAAGAAAUAUCUAAAGAAAAAUGGAGAAAGAUGAAGAAGUGUGUAGAAAAAGGAAGUGUGUAGAAGAUGAAGUGUGUAGAAGAUGAAGUGUGUAGAACUAACUUGUAGUCUCCACUUACUAGUAUAAAUAGGGGUGCUUAGCACCAUUUGUAAUCAUUCCACAUCAAGCAAAGCAAUAGAGAGAAAAC